GGGCCCCUCCCCUCAUUGUCUUCGUUAUUUCAGGACUCCAUUUAGAGGUAGGAUUGGCCUGCUACCAUCACCUGUAAAUUCGGAACUGCUCCUUCUCAUCUGAGGACCAGAAUCCAUAUUCCUCAUCAGAAGGGAAUUGGGCCUUGUGCAGAAGCACAUCCACCAGCUGGAAGUAGACUGGCCGGUAUACCUGCUGGUACACAGCCUGCUUCUCUGCCUCAAAGGACAGAAUGUCAUCCUGAGAGAGCCGGGGAAGAAAGUUAGCCACCUCAGCACCAGGCCCAGAAGCCCAUGAUCUACCUUCUGUCAUUACAGCCCAGUCCUACUAGAGGGUCACGUAGACACACCUGCAGCGUGUACCAGAAGCUUUCAUGCUGCCCAUUUUGGGAAGAGCCUUCGGUCAGAGACUUCCAGGAGAACUCUGAGAAGGAAGUAUGAGACAGAGACUUACAGGAAGAACGACAUGUGAUGGCAAAGGCAGAGACUGGAACCAUGCAACUUAAAGCCAAGGAACACCAGAGAUUGCCAGCAAAGAACCAGAAGCUAAGAAGAGAUGAGGAAGGACUCUCCUACAGGUUUUCAGAGGAAGCCGACACCUUGAUUUUGGACUUCUAGCCUCUCCAACAAUUGAGACAAUAAAUUUCUGUUGUUUAAAGCUG
This is a long non-coding RNA of Suricata suricatta (meerkat), 659 nucleotides long. RefSeq lists it as uncharacterized. The record is from RefSeq and is a predicted model, not a curated record. The transcript has 3 exons. Lineage: Eukaryota; Metazoa; Chordata; Mammalia; Carnivora; Herpestidae.